Molecule: ribosomal RNA, 454 nt
Filed under: uncultured Rikenellaceae bacterium
Lineage: Bacteria; Pseudomonadati; Bacteroidota; Bacteroidia; Bacteroidales; Rikenellaceae
Description: partial 16S ribosomal RNA
Rfam family: Bacterial small subunit ribosomal RNA
Source: RNAcentral
ACGGAAGGCAGCAGUGAGGAAUAUUGGUCAAUGGACGCAAGUCUGAACCAGCCAUGCCGCGUGCAGGAAUAAGGCCCUAUGGGUCGUAAACUGCUUUUGUGGUGGAGCAAUAAGUCGUACGUGUACGGCGAUGAGAGUACAUCACGAAUAAGCAUCGGCUAACUCCGUGCCAGCAGCCGCGGUAAUACGGAGGAUGCAAGCGUUAUCCGGAUUUAUUGGGUUUAAAGGGUGCGUAGGCUGUGGUCCAAGUCAGGGGUGAAAGCCCGGAGCUCAACUCCGGAACUGCCUUUGAUACUGGAUUGCUGGAAUACGGAUGCCGUGGGGGGAAUGAGUAGUGUAGCGGUGAAAUGCAUAGAUAUUACUCAGAACACCGAUUGCGAAGGCAUCUCACGAAUCCGUCAUUGACGCUGAGGCACGAAAGCGUGGGGAUCAAACAGGAUUAGAUACCCUGGUA